RNAcentral lists this ribosomal RNA (468 nucleotides) under uncultured bacterium. Its description in RNAcentral is "partial 16S ribosomal RNA". It matches the Rfam family "Bacterial small subunit ribosomal RNA", at positions 28 to 507 of the family's 1533-position model. The record is from RNAcentral.
GACGAACGCUGGCGGCGUGCUUAACACAUGCAAGUCGAACGGAAAGGCCCUGCUUUUGUGGGGUGCUCGAGUGGCGAACGGGUGAGUAACACGUGAGUAACCUGCCCUUGACUUUGGGAUAACUUCAGGAAACUGGGGCUAAUACCGGAUAGGAGCUCCUGCUGCAUGGUGGGGGUUGGAAAGUUUCGGCGGUUGGGGAUGGACUCGCGGGUUAUCAGCUUGUUGGUGGGGUAGUGGCUUACCAAGGAUUUGACGGGUAGCCGGCCUGGGAGGGUGGCCGGCCACAUUGGGCCUGAGAUACGGCCCAGACUCCUACGGGAGGCAGCAGUGGGGAAUAUUGCACAAUGGGCGGAAGCCUGAUGCAGCAACGCCGCGUUCGGGAUGACGGCCUUCGGGUUGUAAACCGCUUUCGCCUGUGACGAAGCGUGAGUGACGGUAAUGGGUAAAGAAGCACCGGCUAACUACGUG